UCCUACAAACAUUUGAGACAAUCAUGAAGUGAACUGGAAAAACACAAUCAAUGAGUCUUAAAACCUCCAGAAAUUCAAUUCUGCACCUUGGCUCCCCUGGAAUCAUCAGCUCACCUGCACAAAGGAGCAACAGAGAGAGACAGUGUCCCUUUAAGAAGUAAUUCACAGGGGAAAACUGCAAAGAGGGAAGAAGAGGAGGUGUGUAUGCAUACGUGUACAUGUCAAACUGAUAGACACUUGGGUGAGAGAGGCAGAAGGAGAGGCUCAAAGGAAUGAGAAAUGAUGAAGAGAAAGAGAAAGACAGAGACACAACAUUGCAUUAGACUCUAAGAGCCAUCCCUUGCUUGCUAAAGGCUAAUGCAAUUGCCACACAAUGAGAGUGUCUCAGCGGAGGCUGUAAAAAGAACUAGAGAGGGGAAUGUAAGAGGAGAGGCGGAGAGGGAGGCAAGAACUGGAGGGAGGAGGGGGUAAGAAGGAGGACUGGCAGCUCUGCCUUCAGACUCUCAUAUGAAUCUCGUGGGACAAUGGUUAAGAGUCUCUCUGUGUCUGUACUGGAACUCUGGGCUGAGUGUGAGUGGCUGCUGUGUCUUCAGAGUCAUUCAUCAGGUUUGCUGGGAGGAGACACAGAGGGAGAGAAGGGGAGACGACUCUGGUAGCAAGCAGGAAGCACCAGCCAGCUGGAUGGGUGCGUUAACUCCACAUCUGACCUCUAUGGGAAGCACAGCAGCCUCCUCUGCUCUCCUCUCUUCUCCAGGCAAACUGUGGGAACAAGGGAGAACAGAGCUUUGUGUCUCCCUCUCUUCCUCCUCCUCCUUCUAUCCCAGCUCCUUGCUGGGCUGUGGAGCUCAGGGAACCAGGACUGGACAGAGCAGGACAUGACAGGACAAGACAGAUUUGGCGGUGAGACUUCAACCAGACACCCAAGCUCUGAGGACUGCACCGUUGAGUUUUGGAGCUGGGAUGACCCGUCUGGCUCAGUUGACCUGUCAGUCCGGUAGUUUUCUAGUCAGUGAUCAGCCAGUCAGACGGUCAGUUAGUCAGCCUGUUAAUCAGUCACAGGGACCCUUCCCAAACAAUUCCUCCAGUUUGGGAAUAUCCUCAUCUGAACUCGGAUGUGACUCAAGUUGAACUAGAAGAGGACCCGUGGGCACGGUCACAGGUGCUACACAGCUGCAGCAGAAGGAGAUCAUCUGGAGACCAAAUAAAAGAGAAGAGGAUGUAAUGGCGCAGAGGGCAGGGAAGGGCAGAGAGGUGUGGAUCCAGCCUCUUGUCUUGGCUGCGGUGGGGAGGGUUCCUGGCACCGUGAUUUGAUGCACAAAGAGAAACAAAAAUCACAUUGCCAGGGAUUUCCACUCCUUCGCAGCCCAGCAGGUACCCUGUCCCGUUCUUUCAGCUCCUCUGUGGCAAAGUGCCUCUUUGGCUUGUAGAUGAUUUAUGACUGUGGAUGUUGCCACAGAAAUCUUACUCGAUAAUCUGGACGCACUUCUAAAGAUGGUUUGUCUCUUAAAAAUGCCUGAAUGCCUGAGUCAGUGUGCAGCUGUUUGAAAUCGUAGCUGCUUUCUCUUUUCUCCCCUCUAAUUCACCAGGAAGUGAACGUGAAAGCGUACUGGAGCCACGCAGCUUUACGUGGUAGAACUAAUUUGUAGAGGUAUAUUUUUCAGCUCCGGGACUUUAGAUUUAAAAAAAAGGAAGUUAUUCAGAUAUACAAGACGAAGACUUGGAUCCUCCACAGGCCGCAUGCUCUGAGGCUCGCUGCAAGACCGGCAGGCUCUGAAACCCACUGACUUUACCACUGAGCACUCGCAUAAAGGUCUCCAUAAAUCUCUGCUUCCUCCAAAAGCCAGCCGCCUACUUGCUAAAGGCACAGAGCUUAGCUAAUUGGUGAGCAUUGAUCCCUGCUAUGUGUUGUUCACAGUGGCUAAGUUCAGUGCCUGAGGUGAAAUAGUAGAUUCAACGUCUGGGAUUUGUUCCAGUGAAUGGUCAGAACUUGAUGAUCUCGGAAAUGCAGAAAGACGAAGAAAAAGCAGAAGAGGAGAAGAGUGACCAGAGAUUAAGUGGAGAUGGAAUGAGGAGGAAAGGGAAUAAGGUCCCAGUCAGCGUUUACUUUGGGAUUUGUUGUUCUGAUUCUGUGGAAAUUAUCAUGCUGGUUUUUGUUAUGUGACAUCAGACAAUCUCUGUUUCCUAGAAACUAACACGUCAAGUCGGAAUCACCACAAAUACUCAUGACAACCUUUCAAUCUGUCCCUGUGACCCUGUUGAUUUGACAAUACCACAGGCUUUAUUGUAAUGCGAGGAAUGUGGUGCAACACUGUGUGACCUAAUUUGUUUUUAGUGUUGCUCAGGACAACUCCAGUGUUACACAGUAAGUCGUACAGUCAGACGCUAGCCUCCUCGCCCCCUUUUGAAAGAGAUAGUUUGGCCAUAUUUGAAUGUCUUUCUAUUUAAAAUGAAUAAUUUCCUGAACAGCCUCUGGUUGGAGAAAUAACUUUUACAACUGGCCGGGCCAUUGAGCUAAUGUCUAGUUCCAGUACAACCAAGACCAAAGUAGAUUUCUGCAAUCUCAAAACAGCUUCAGUCAGUCGGUUCAUACACACAUUAUAUUGAUGAAUCAAUUAUUUUACCACCUUUCAAUGAGCUCGACAUACGUGAGGCGACAUUGCCUCUCUUCCAUUCAUUUUCAAUGAGACAUGCGCGACAAAGCGAUAAUCGCGGGUCUCCCUCCUGCUAAGCGGCACGCAAAAAAACGUGCAUGUGAAAUUUUGUGAUCGAGCAUUCGCCACGUAGAGGCGAGCCAGUGAUGUGAUCCCAGAAAGUUGAGAAAUGUUCAACUUUUCCUCGCUGUCGCUCAGACAAGGGCCAAACAGCGGAGGCUUCGUUGACUGACCAAUGAGCGGACAGGAUGCUUCCCAGUACAGCUCCACGCAAACAUGGAGAAAAAGUUAAUACUUGCCAUGUCGGAUUUCCCAGAUCCUUACAACAUUUCUACAAAAGAGUAUAGAGAUCUUCCCAAAAGGCAGCAUGGGAAAUUGUUGGUGUCAGAAUCAAUACAUCAGGUAAGUUUUUACUGAUGCAAACAUUUUUGUAACUUAUCUAGUGCAAUAGCAAACCUGAAUAAAUGUCAUCUGUGUAUUAUAUAACUAUAUAACUGCUUUAAUAACCCAGAAUUCCCCCCAAUCUGGCAGCCAAUCAAAACAAUGGAAGGCUCGCUGACUUUGCCGCUGGCCGCUGCUGCAUGUCACCUCUCGUGUGUCAGGUUAUCAGAGCGACAGCGAUGAGUUUUGCCACUUGCAGCCUUCUGAUGUCUACCGUGUGACGAGCACAUGAUUCUGACAAAAUAGAAAAGCUUCAAACCAUAUCAAAUUGACAGGUCAGCGUGUCAUAUGGUUGUAAAUAAAGUGUAUGGUGAUAUGACUGGUAAAGUGGCCCAUCAGGGUGUCAUACGAUUGUUCUAAACAAAGUGUAUGAUAAUCUUAUGGCUAAACUGGCCCAACAACAUGACAUACAGCUUAAAAGGUGUAUGCCUGUCUGACAGACUUGUGCUGUCAGACAGGCAUAUGCUGUGUCAAUCUGACAAUGUAUGGAAAUGGGACAGAACAGAUUAAAAAAGAAAAAAAGAAAAAAGGUCAUUUCUCUCUAAAAAAUUUUUUGGGAGUCUGUUAAAGUGGUUUUCUGUCAUUCACAUAUCAGUUAUAUUUACAUUAUCUUUUAUGCGUUUGAAGACUGUUUUUUAUCCUUAAUAUUCAGUAGUUUUAGUGUUUUCCAGCCAGCAGAGAUCAUUGGGGGACAGGAAGAAGAAAAAAAAGGUGAAAGCUAAUUCUGAUGCUAGCGAUUUAGCAUGUUUAACCUGAUUCUUUUACAACUUGCAUUUAGACUUGCAGAUCAUGUGCUAGCAGCUGAUACACCUUAACAUUUCUUACAGAAAGCACAAACAUUAUCCACGGCUGCAUGUUACAGGAGUAAUGCGUGUCAAAUGAUUCCUGGGCUGCGCCCUCCUGUGCCUACUGAACUGGUAUCAGUGUUAAACCUGAAAACUGGCUCAGUUCAGCAGGAACAGGAGUGGAGCCCACUAACUUUGAAGACACAUCGUUACAGACUGAGCUUCACCAUGAGGCAGCCUAGCCCAGACUCACUGUUUCAGCUGUUAUGUUAAAUUGACCGCACCCAGAACAAAGCAGGAUAGGAUGCUUGCUUUGAGUCACUGACCUCCAACCUAACGAACUACAGCCCAGAUUACAGGACGAGGAAGUUGGGUUUGACUAAUAAGACUUGUAAAAAUAAAUGCUGCCAUGCUAUUCCGCCUACAAACACCUUUCUGUCUCUCCUUUUGUUCUUAACUGACAAAGGCCAGACUGAGACCGGAGCUCAAUGUGAGGUAAUCCAAAUAAAAUGUCUGCUAUGCUGGUGUAAUUGAUGUCACCCAGCCGUUCCCAUUCCCAGAGAUUGGAAAUGUGUGCAAAGCUACGUCCAUUCCACACGUCAGAUUCUUGUGGCCACAAAAGGAAAAGUGCUUUGUGGUCUACUCAGAGGAAAGUGGAACAUCAUGAUCAAGGCUGACGAAUCUGCUCUCAUCCAGCUCCUCCACUCUUGACGGCAGGGAUCACAAACAUUUAGUUCUGUUUGUGUCAGUAAAAAGUUUAAUUCAAAGCUGAAGGAGAUAAUCCAGAAAAAGGAGAGUGAGAUUGAGCUGCGACGACUUUAGGGCAUUGUUGAAACCCAUUUGUACGACUGUGAUUUAUGUACGCAUUCAAUCUGACAAAAUGUGUCAGACAACGGUGCAUAACAUCCAUUAUUCUAAAUGUCAGUGCUCUUUCAACACUGCUCAACAAUUUGAUGCAUGAUUUGCUCUCAUGUUUCAGGUGUAAUGAUCUUUUCAUUUCAGCUCUACAGCAGCCGUGAUUUUAAAUAAUAAAGCCUAAAUGAGCACAAGAAA
This is a non-coding RNA of Nothobranchius furzeri (turquoise killifish), 4930 nucleotides long. NCBI's taxonomy places the organism in Eukaryota, Metazoa, Chordata, Actinopteri, Cyprinodontiformes, Nothobranchiidae. The record is from RefSeq and is a predicted model, not a curated record.